GACGAACGCUGGCGGCGUGCCUAAUACAUGCAAGUAGAACGCUGAAGGAAGGAGCUUGCUCUUUCCGGAUGAGUUGCGAACGGGUGAGUAACGCGUAGGUAACCUGCCUGGUAGCGGGGGAUAACUAUUGGAAACGAUAGCUAAUACCGCAUAACAGUAGAUGUUGCAUGAUAUCUACUUAAAAGGUGCAAUUGCACCACUACCAGAUGGACCUGCGUUGUAUUAGCUAGUUGGUGAGGUAACGGCUCACCAAGGCGACGAUACAUAGCCGACCUGAGAGGGUGAUCGGCCACACUGGGACUGAGACACGGCCCAGACUCCUACGGGAGGCAGCAGUAGGGAAUCUUCGGCAAUGGACGGAAGUCUGACCGAGCAACGCCGCGUGAGGGAAGAAGGUUUUCGGAUCGUAAAGCUCUGUUGUAAGAGAAGAACGAGUGUGAGAGUGGAAAGUUCACACUGUGACGGUAUCUUACCAGAAAGGGACGGCUAACUACGUG
RNAcentral lists this ribosomal RNA (497 nucleotides) under uncultured bacterium. RNAcentral describes it as "partial 16S ribosomal RNA". It matches the Rfam family "Bacterial small subunit ribosomal RNA", at positions 28 to 507 of the family's 1533-position model. The record is from RNAcentral.